Molecule: ribosomal RNA, 255 nt
Filed under: uncultured bacterium
Lineage: Bacteria
Description: partial 16S ribosomal RNA
Rfam family: Bacterial small subunit ribosomal RNA
Source: RNAcentral
UACGUAGGGCGCAAGCGUUUAUCCGGAAUUAUUGGGCGUAAAGAGCUCGUAGGCGGUUUGUCGCGUCUGCCGUGAAAGUCCGGGGCUCAACUCCGGAUCUGCGGUGGGUACGGGCAGACUAGAGUGAUGUAGGGGAGACUGGAAUUCCUGGUGUAGCGGUGAAAUGCGCAGAUAUCAGGAGGAACACCGAUGGCGAAGGCAGGUCUCUGGGCAUUAACUGACGCUGGAGGAGCGAAAGCAUGGGGAGCGAACAGG